UUUAAAACUUUCAACAACGGAUCUCUUGGUUCCGGCAUCGAUCAAGAACGCAGCGAAAUGCGAUACGUAAUGUGAAUUUCAAAUUCAGUGAUUCAUCGAGUCUUUGAACGCACAUUGCGCCCCCUGGUAUUCCGGGGGGCCUUGCCUGUCCGAGCGUCA
RNAcentral lists this ribosomal RNA (159 nucleotides) under Ascomycota sp. MA5332. Its description in RNAcentral is "5.8S ribosomal RNA". It matches the Rfam family "5.8S ribosomal RNA". From Rfam's summary of the family: 5.8S ribosomal RNA (5.8S rRNA) is a component of the large subunit of the eukaryotic ribosome. It is transcribed by RNA polymerase I as part of the 45S precursor that also contains 18S and 28S rRNA. Functionally, it is thought that 5.8S rRNA may be involved in ribosome translocation. Lineage: Eukaryota; Fungi; Ascomycota. The record is from RNAcentral.